RNAcentral lists this transfer RNA (74 nucleotides) under Danionella translucida. It matches the Rfam family "tRNA". From Rfam's summary of the family: Transfer RNA (tRNA) molecules are approximately 80 nucleotides in length. Their secondary structure includes four short double-helical elements and three loops (D, anti-codon, and T loops). Further hydrogen bonds mediate the characteristic L-shaped molecular structure. tRNAs have two regions of fundamental functional importance: the anti-codon, which is responsible for specific mRNA codon recognition, and the 3' end, to which the tRNAs corresponding amino acid is attached (by aminoacyl-tRNA synthetases). tRNAs cope with the degeneracy of the genetic code in two manners: having more than one tRNA (with a specific anti-codon) for a particular amino acid; and 'wobble' base-pairing, i.e. permitting non-standard base-pairing at the 3rd anti-codon position. Lineage: Eukaryota; Metazoa; Chordata; Actinopteri; Cypriniformes; Danionidae. The record is from Rfam by way of RNAcentral. RNAcentral also lists the same sequence under 1 other name.
GGCCUGUUAGCUCAGCUGGUUAGAGCGUGGUGCUAAUAACGCCAAGGUCAUGGGUUCGAUCCCCACAUGGGCCA